CCCUGCGAGGGGGAGUGUGAGGCUGGGUGGGACACAGGAGGCCUGCCACAGGCGGCCGCUGGGCCCCGCAGCCCACACGUACAUGUCUGAACACGCGGACCUGCCUGAGCCCUGAGCUGAGGGUCUGGGCCAGGGCCCCUUUCUUCCUUCAGGCGUCCUGGGAGCAUGGGCGGACCCAGAGCAGACCGGCAAGGGGAACUUACUGGGGGUCACCUCCAGAAAGGCCAGCCAACCCAACCCAGACUUGCAGACACGGACGUGUGGCUCAGGGCACCGAGAGCAGGCUGGCAGGCUGCCAUUACGUGCCCCUGGCUGAAGGGCACACCUGGAAAAGGAAGCAGAACCCAAGCUCUGCUCCAGGAGGAGGAGGGAGGGGCCGUGCUUCCCAGAGGCGGGGUCAGUGCUUCCCUGGAGGGGCGGGGUCGGCGAUUCCCUGGAGGGCAGGGCCAGUGCUUUCCCGGAGGGGACCGUACCCCGCAGGCAGGGCCAGCGCUGAAGUCACCGGCAACAAGACAGUGGUGUCCGGAAGCGGCCGUUCCUAAAAGUGCCUGCCUCCUACUGGCCCCCAGCUGGGUCCGGAAGCUUAGGAAAUUAAACCAGCACAAGCAGAAUGACUUUAAAUAGCACUCCAAAGUCCACACUAGGUCAUGGGUCAGCAGGGCUGUUUCCAGAAAAGAACCAGUCCCCUCCUGGGGCCAGAGAAGGUUUUUCCACCUUCAGGUGGGAAUCUGGCCCGAGAUGGGGGGGGGGGGAGAGCGGGGGCUGGGUGCUCUGGCCUCUCCCAGCAGGGCCGGCCCGCCCCUUGCUCACGCACAUCCUAGCUUCUCGGGAAGGUCAGCAAUGAACCAGCUUCCCACAAACGCCCAACUCGGGGCGGCUAUUUCUGAGAAUUCACAUGAGCUCCGAAGUACACAGGACACAGGGGAUGCCCCGCCCCGCUGGCCGUGGAUACCUGCAUACCCUGCCCGCGUGUGAGUGCUCCCCCAGGGCGGGGAGGGGGGGCAGGCCCCAGUGCUGGCGCAAACUGCUUCCUGUGACCUCACAACACGCGAGGGUUGCGCUGGUCUCCCUGCCUUUCAUGGAAGCUACUUCCUGCUCUGAGAGGCCAGGUGACCCGCCGAGGGCACCCUGUGACCCUCCUGCUUGGCGCCAGCCUUGCCCACGGGCCCAGCCCCGCUCUUCCUGCUCGGCUCCGUGGGAUGGCUGACAGCGGCAUGGAAGGGGGUGUGCCGGCAGGGCUGGGGGCUGGGCCCGGAACACAGACCACCGGCCAUGCUGAGGGGUGACCGGGACAGGACAGUGACCUGACCUUGGGACCCACUGCCCCAGACGUGUCUGGCAAAGCCCACUCCAAAGGCCAGGCUGCAUGGGGUGCUGAACUCUGCCUGGGAUUGCCGGGACACUGGCCACCACCAGUGUGGACCACACUACACCACAGGGACACACACCUUGGCCAGGACAGGCCAGCCUAGCCUCACACCAAGAGCCACGGGAUGCCUGACACAGACCCCAUCCUCAAGAGUCACAAGUGGCCCUGUCUCCAGGACACGUGGAAGCAGGUAAGACCAGUAACAAACCUGGAGAGUGGGACGUGGGUCAGGGUAACAGAGGCAGCACCAGAGGGACCGGAGUGGCCAUCACACAUGACCCUGGGGUCUGGAGAGUGGCCUCGGCCUGAGCUGGCCCCGCACGUGUCCGCUCGGUGGGACGGCACUAAAGCAGCACACCUGUGCCGACGUGAAUGUGCCCAGGUCUCCCCUCCCCGUGGGGUGGGGGACCUGGCUGUGCCCUCGCUCCACGGAAGCCCUUCAGGUGACUCUGGGUAGGCCCUGUGCCGUCGGCCAGCUCUGAGGCCCUUCUGUCUCCGCCAGCUCUGUCUGGUUGAGCUGUGGGGUCACGCGGGGCAGGCGGCGCCCGGGGCGGGGGGGCCGGGGGCGCUGUGCGGAGCUGGAACAGGGGAGCGCGGCCCCGCCCCCCAGGCACCAUACCUUGCUUUCUGGCCGCCGUGGCGUUCCAGGCGUCUGAUCGCCGAGCUGUCCUCUGGUGACUGGCAUCAGGGUGGAUGUGCACCUGGAGGGACAGAGGGGACAGCAUCCCGAGACCCAGCCCCAGGGUCCCCCCCGUCCCCGAGGCAGCCCCUACCUUGUAGGAUUGAGAGACCCCAGGCCCCAUCACGGAACUAGACACGCCCUCCGCAGGGUCUGCACUGAACACAAUCUGAAAAGCAGACGUGGGGGACAAAGCAGAGACACGCUGGUCACACAGCGUACAGCAGGGGCCACCACUCCUGAGUCGCCCCCACACACGGGACGGAUGCUCAGGGCAUUGUCAUCCCCUACCCUGCCUUUGAGCUCAUGGCAUCCCUGCUGUGGGACUCCAGGCCGAGGGGCAGGAGUCGCACUUGCCUGUCCCCUCUCCUGAAGGACCCCACGGCACCGGAGACACAGCCAUCCCGCAGGGCCCCCUCUGUGGUAGCUAAUCCGUGUGCUCUCACAGGGAGCAGGCCUGGGGUGGUCAGGGAGCCAGAGGAAGGGACUCAGUUCACCCCCAGAAGUAAAAAGACAAAAGCGACCCCUAACUAAAAUAAAGAGAACCGUACUCUUGGCCAAGGCAACAAAUGGAGAAAAAGAGUCGAGAGGUAACUUUGGGGAAGAAGGCGCACGAUGCUGGAAGUUAACAAACCACGUGGCGGGACUGCUCAGAAAACCAAACGACUUUUACAAUUAAAAGGAAAACUUAGUAAGACAGUACCAGGAGGCCGACAGAAACACCAAGAGUGCCCCAGGAUGCCCUGGGGCCCAGCGGCUUCCUGUCCACGGCUUUGCAGGUGAGCAGGUCUCACGCCGCCCCAGGGCAGGCUGCACCUGCCCCAUCCCUCCUGAGGCUGCCUCUGUCUGUGUGGGCUGCAGACCCCCUUUCUCACCCUACCUUGAGGGGAUCUGAGUUUCGGGAGGUACGAGGCACUACAGCCCGCCUGGGGGUGCUCUCAGUGCGGCCUGUGACAUGGGCUACCUGUCUGGCCAGCCCACUGACCCCCUGCAGCCCCGGGGCCAGCCCAGCACACCCCCUUCCCAUAGGAGUCAGGUCUGGGAGGAGCAAGAGCCCAGUCACACUUCCUCCAGCUGGAAGGGACACACCAGAGAGAGAAGCUGGCCUACAGGCAGCACCGGGCAGGCAGGGACACGGAGCCAUCUGCCAGGCCCACUGAGAGCGGCUGCCAAAAGAAAUUCCAAACCAAUGGGGUAGGGGUGCUUGGGUUCCAGUGAGUCUGCGGGGGAGAAUCUGGGGAGGGGAGGGGGCUGCGUGGGACCGGGUUUGAGCUCAGGGCACCUGUGGAGGGGACAGCAGCCCUAGCCCAGCGCCCGCUCAUCUGCAGGGACCCUGAGAUCAGUGGGGAGUACACGCAGGGAGCAGCUCAGAGGAGAGGGCCCGCCUGGCAGGAGUCUCAGACAGGGGCCAGGGUACCCGGAGACCCGACAGUCACAAGAGGCCAUGGCCCCAGGCAGCAGUGGUCUGGAGCUCCUCAGAGAAGUGCUGGGAGGACAGCAAGGCAGGGCCUGGCACGCCAGGACAACACCUACCCACACUUCACACUCAAGGAGAUGGGAGCCCCAGCAAGGACCACUAGCACCAAGAGUCCUCUUAAGAAAGGGCUAGCGAGGCCCUCGUCAUAGGGUCCUUUUCCUCAGAAAGGGACGGUCCUCGACAGCUGGCCCGGCAGCCACUCGACUGAGGGAGACAGACCCUGGCUUGUCCACUUGAGCUGAGAAGCGGCUCAGCCAGACCCAAAGACAGCUAGCUGGACACACGACAGCACCCUGGGGGGCAGGAGGCGGCCGUGUCCACAGGCCCUGAGGUGUGUGAUGUCCCCACUGGUGGCCUGGCUAGGGAAAGGUGGGGUUUGCAUGUGCCAGGAGGGGCUGCCCUCACCCCAAAGUGGAUCCCAGAGGCCAGAGUGAGGCCAGUCUGGCCCAGAGAACAUGCUGGCCGCGCCUGCCGACUCUGAACGCCAGCCCCACGGGCCCCACCUGGGCUCACAGGCAUUGCCCAAACGCACUCACCCCUAGUAUCUGAAUGCCUCUCUGGGUGGGCUGGCCCAGUGGCCAGACAACGGGGCUGGGUAGACAGAGUCGACGGCCUCUCACUCUGUGAUGGACUCAUGCUUUGACUUACCUCUGAAAAGCUGCUUCAAGAAAUUACUUGAGAAAAGGUGAGAGCGGACGGUGUGGCCACUAGGCCUGCCUGAAACCCAGGGGACCCCGCCAGGCCCCCACGCCCCCUGGCCCCCGGGGAACCCACCCUGGACCUGACUGCCCAGAGCAGCCAAGCACGGCCCGCUCCCCUAAGGCCUCGCAGAGCACCUCCAGGUAAGAGGAGACACGCUUCAGAUGUUGAUUCGAAGCAUGUGGCGUGGGCGCCUUGGCCUUGCCCCAAACCUGGGAGAAGGAGGCACCCCUCGACCCCCAUCAGGAAAGGAGACGCCGUACCUUCGCCAUACGCCCACCCUACCUGGAUGAUGUCUGAGAGCUUCUGCAGCCCCGCUGUGUUGGUGAACGGCCCCGUACCUGUGGGAGCAGCAGACGCUGGCCAUCCCGCACCUCUGCCAGGGGAGGCCCCGGACCCUCCGCCAUCAGGAGCCACGAGCAAGCUUGGCCUCAACCCAGUGUUGGUGUGGGGCGCGCCCUUGCGGGGGGGGGGGGGGGGCAGUUCCCACACUGCUGCCAGAACGUCUCCGGGGGGUCGGCGGGAUGAGAACAGGCUCUGUGCUCAAGUAAGGCUGAGGCUGCUGGGCCACCCCAGGGCCCAGGAGCACAGCAAAGUGACCGUCUGAGAUGAGAACAAGGCCCCACCCAGCAGAAGUGGGCCCAGGAUGCGGGGGGCUCAGCCUCUGGGUGGACACAGGAUGCGGGGGGCUCAGGGGAGAGGCUGGCGGGACCCGUGGCUCAGUCGCCUAGCAGGUGCCUCACCACUCUUCCCCUCCGGGGCUGACCAGGGAACGUGCUUUACAAAACACAUGCCCGUUGAACGGCAGCGAGGCUUCAACACCCCAGGCAGAAAGGGGGAUCUGGGGGCAACGUUCCUGCCUGGGGGUGCUGCAGCAGGCUACAGCCCUGAGUCAAGGCCAGUGUGGGGGCCAAGGUGGCCGCGGGGCCCAAUGGGGACUCACGUCCUGCCAGGUGCUGGAUGAUCUGGUCCAGGGAGUCGAGGAUGCAGCCUUUCGUCUGAAAGGUUAUCUGGGCUUCGGCAAACAGCUCAAAGAUGUAGCUGCAGAGGACAGAGGCUCAGGCAGGGCCCAGGCCGCCUCCUGAGAGGAGGCCAAACUUCAGAGCCCUAAGUGUGAAGGAAAAGGCAAGGCCCCACAGGGCAGCUCUGGGAGGCAGGUAAGCCCUGCCGUCUGGGCCGUGAAGGCCGAAGGGCCUGGAGCAGCUGGGAAGCAAGUGGGAGUCCCACAAGGCUCUGAGCACAGUGUGACAGAUGGGCUCAGGAAGAAGGCAGGCAGCAGUGCUCCAGCACAUUCUAGAACAUUCCACACCUCGAGAACCUGAGGCUGGAUCCCAGCACAGCUGUCAAUUGUGCCCUGAGGAAAGCUACAACCGGCCCCAGGCCACGAUCCCUCACCUGCCUUUAGGAAAUAAAGCCAGGUGCCCUGGGCUGCUGAGACCACAGUCCUGCGCACCACGGCCAGCCAUCUGGGCCUAUAGGAGAGGAGGCUGGUGGGAAGAUGCGCACAGAAGCUCCUCACUCUGAAGGGCUGUGCUGUCAAGGGCUGGGCCAGAGCGGGAGAGGCCGGGGCCAGGGCAGCUGGGCACUGUAAGGAGAGCCGGGCACACCCACUGUCCUUUACCUCCCUGGCUUGGUGACACCACUCUGGUUCCCCGGCAGCUCAACGGCAUCGAUGGCCCCCUCCAGGCGAAGCAGGAUCACUGUGGGCAAGGGGUCGUCAGGUGCAGCCCGCCCGGCCACGCUGCAGCGGGGGAGGGCAGCACUCACCCUUGAGCUUGGCGAGGUCUUCCAACUCCAUGCGCAGCCCUGGGAGAGCAGCAAACGCACAGUCAUUUUCCACUGCCACGCACCGCAUCCUAGAGACAGGAUUCGGGCCGGAUUCCUGCCAGUUUCCCCAAGUUGUGGCGGUCUGGAGGUUCACACAGACCAGUCCAACAGGCUCUGAACCCUUGCAGCCCGAACGCGGACCAGAAGCAGCGGUGUGAGCUGGCGGUGUCUCACCUCUAGGGACACGGGAGCACACAUGUACUCGGAUGCUCGCUGGAGGCCCAGGACAAUGACCCAGCUACAAAGCGUCCCAGCGCCCGCAUCGUGGCUCUUGCGAGAUCAGAUCUCCCGCGAGAGGAAACCAGGACUGCUCGGAGACUUGGCUGGAGCCAGAUGAGGGACAGGAAAAGCGUGGACAGUGGAGUCUCUACCGCUGGGAAACUGUGGAAAGGUCUUCAGAGAAUGACGCAACGGUCAGCGGGCACCCACUCCCUGCUCCGUGAAGCCCCAAGACCCUCCUAACAUAAUUCAUCUUGGGGCGCCUGGGGGCUCAGUCAGUUAAGCGUCCGACUUUGGCUCAGGUCAGGAUCUCACUGCUCACAGGUUCAAGCCCCACAUCAGGCUCUGUGCUGACAGCUUGGAGCCUGGAGCCUGCUUCCGAUUCAUCUCUGUCUCUCCGCCCCUCCCCUGCUCCUGCUCUCCCUCUCUCUCGCUCUUAAAUGUGAAACGUUGAAGAAAAAAGAAGUUCACCUUGUCCCCAAACGACUGAAGAAGGCGCUGGGACCGGAGGCCACCGGGCAGCCUGUCUCGUCUCUCGUCUCCCACCUGCAAACUCACCU
Molecule: long non-coding RNA, 6830 nt
Organism: Felis catus (domestic cat)
Lineage: Eukaryota; Metazoa; Chordata; Mammalia; Carnivora; Felidae
Exons: 3
Source: RefSeq, a predicted model, not a curated record